Cimex lectularius (bed bug) is the source of this 512-nucleotide long non-coding RNA. RefSeq lists it as uncharacterized. The record is from RefSeq and is a predicted model, not a curated record. The transcript is spliced from 3 exons. Lineage: Eukaryota; Metazoa; Arthropoda; Insecta; Hemiptera; Cimicidae.
GGGUUAUGUGUACAUGUGUGUGAUAAAGCAAUUCAUUGAUUGGUCGAUUAAACGAUUUAUUUAACCACGCAAAGUUAGACCUCGAGGAUCUUUCUUACACUUAACAGCAACCUGUGAGCAGACGUCAAUACUUCAAGAAGUUAUUGUACAUGUAAAAUUGUCAAACUCCCUAUUGUCUAGUCUGAUUCUCAAUGGUUUGAAACUUGCACGUUUAGAGGUGUAUAAUUCGAAAAAAAAUGUAAUUAUUGACAAUACCCACUGCACUCAAAUGACAAAAGGAAAGUUGAUCCGUUUCUUGUCCUUCAGGACUGCAAAGCUUUUUAUCCUUCGCUGCAGAAUUACAUUUUAAAUGGGCAGUUGUUUUGAGAUGAUGAUUGUGGGCGAGGCGCGUGAGCUCAUCGAAAAAUAUGCACUUGCGCAAGAUUUAUGCCUGAAUUGUUAAUAUUACCUUGUAAUCCGAGAUAAUACAUUUGCUAAAACAAGAGUUGAAAAUAGUGUGUUAAUUGUACUGA